UACGAAGGGGGCUAGCGUUGCUCGGAAUGACUGGGCGUAAAGGGCGCGUAGGCGGCUUGCACCGUCAGAUGUGAAAUCCCCGGGCUUAACCUGGGAAUGGCAUUUGGGACUGCAAGGCUUGAGUGCGGCAGAGGAGACUGGAAUUCCUGGUGUAGCAGUGAAAUGCGUAGAUAUCAGGAGGAACACCGAUGGCGAAGGCAGGUCUCUGGGCUGACACUGGCGCUCAUGCACGAAAGCGUGGGGAGCAAACAGG
This 253-nucleotide ribosomal RNA is filed under the name uncultured bacterium. Its description in RNAcentral is "partial 16S ribosomal RNA". It matches the Rfam family "Bacterial small subunit ribosomal RNA", at positions 524 to 776 of the family's 1533-position model. The record is from RNAcentral.